This 460-nucleotide ribosomal RNA is filed under the name uncultured bacterium. RNAcentral's name for it is "partial 16S ribosomal RNA". It matches the Rfam family "Bacterial small subunit ribosomal RNA", at positions 338 to 795 of the family's 1533-position model. The record is from RNAcentral.
CCUACGGGAGGCAGCAGUGAGGAAUAUUGGUCAAUGGCCGUAAGGCUGAACCAGCCAAGUAGCGUGAGGGAAGACUGCCCUAUGGGUUGUAAACCUCUUUUAUGCGGGGAUAAAGGUGUCCACGUGUGGAUGUUUGCAGGUACCGCAUGAAUAAGGACCGGCUAAUUCCGUGCCAGCAGCCGCGGUAAUACGGAAGGUCCGGGCGUUAUCCGGAUUUAUUGGGUUUAAAGGGAGCGUAGGCCGGUCUUUAAGCGUGCCGUGAAAAUUUGUGGCUUAACCAUGGGAGUGCGGCGCGAACUGGAGGCCUUGAGUGCGCGGAAGGCAGGCGGAAUGCGUGGUGUAGCGGUGAAAUGCUUAGAUAUCACGAAGAACCCCGAUUGCGAAGGCAGCCUGCCGCAGCGUUACUGACGCUGAAGCUCGAAAGCGCGGGUAUCGAACAGGAUUAGAUACCCCUGUAGUC